GUUCUACCUUGACGAAUUGUAGUUUAAAGAAGUGUUUUCUGUUAGAGGAGUAGCAAAAGUUCCUUGGAAUGGGACAUCAUAGAGGGUGAGAAUCCCGUAUUUGGUUAUUCUUUCUAGCUUUGUGAUACACUUUCAAAGAGUCGGAUUGUUUGGGAAUGCAGUCCAAAAUGAGUGGUAAAUUUCAUCUAAAGCUAAAUAUUGGCGAGAGACCGAUAGCGAACAAGUACCGUGAGGGAAAGAUGAAAAGAACUUUGAAAAGAGAGUUAAACAGUACGUGAAAUUGUCAAAAGGGAAGCGUUUGACACCAGUGUUGUUUUUCCGAAAAUCAAUUAAGAAGGGCUUGAUUUUGUGUUGUAUUGACCUUAUCAGCUUUCUUCACUCUUUUUCGAGUCUUUCUU
This 398-nucleotide ribosomal RNA is filed under the name uncultured Neocallimastigomycetes. RNAcentral's name for it is "eukaryotic LSU rRNA". It matches the Rfam family "Eukaryotic large subunit ribosomal RNA", at positions 127 to 522 of the family's 3401-position model. The record is from RNAcentral. Lineage: Eukaryota; Fungi; Neocallimastigomycota; Neocallimastigomycetes.